UGUGCAUGAAUUUUUGUGCAAUCCUAUUUACAAACCAACUGAAAAAAAAAAAUAAAGAGUUCCAAUCCCAGAGUACACUGUGUAGCUCCGAGCGUGCCAGAGAAGGCAGCUGUGGUGCACUUGUGAUGGCCUCUGAGGGCUCCGGGCACUGUCCUCACUACGGCGGUGGGUUCCGCUGCCUGAGAGAAUCCAUUACAGGAACUCAAGCUUCAGGUGGUCCUUUAUAACCCAGCUCAAGAGGAUGAGUCUCCAAGAUUCAGGAGGAGCAUAGCUGUGCCUCAGCUGCAAUGUUCCUGUGACCUAAUCUGCGGGGAAAUUCGGAUUGGUAAAUUUGUCCCAAAACACAUCGUUGCGUUGUUGUGGUGGUGGUUGCUAAGUCCAAUCUCCAGUGAAUAUAUUCUGGAAUUAGAUAUAAACUAUUGAUAUUAUAAGAGCCCUAAAACAGGAAAUCCUGCUGUGGUGGUCACAGCUCAAUUGAUAAAAUGACCUCCAUACAAAGAAAAGGGCUCGGAGUGAAUGAAAGGUGGCCACAGGUGCGGAGGAACCUGGACGCCUUCACAGGCAAGUGAGGUCCAAACUGUUCCAGAUCGUAUCCUCUGGUUGGUGGAAUUAUUUGAAACACUCUUGUUUUUUUUUUAGCUCCUGGUUCAACUUUAAUUUGCUCUGCCCUUUAGAAGAAUGCAGACUGCAGCUGCGGCCCCUGCCCUGGCCCUGGCCACCCACUGAUGGUCUGAGCUACCUACACACCCUUUGGCCUUGUAUUCAGUUACUUCCCAAAGCUCUUUAAAAGUCUUAAGAAGAUGACAAAGUGAUUUUACUGGUACUGUGAAUUCUUGUCACAUACAAAAUGAGAGCUGGAUUCCAAGGCCUUGGCCGGGGAGUUUCUGGUAUUAUCGUGGCACACGCUGAACGCUGCACUGACCCCAGUGAGUGCGGAAGCAUCUCAGCUCUGACUACUCCGUUUUCUCUGCAGUACUCUCUGACCCGAUCCAAGAGAAAAAUGUGCUGCAAUAUUGGCUGUCUUCUGUUGGUGUUGCUAAGUUACUGAAUAUUUUGCCUUGCCUUGCCCAGAAAACUGGGCUAAUUGUCUUUAAAGAGAUAAACCAUGUUCUGGAACAUC
Non-coding RNA from Callithrix jacchus (white-tufted-ear marmoset), 1120 nucleotides. NCBI's taxonomy places the organism in Eukaryota, Metazoa, Chordata, Mammalia, Primates, Cebidae. The record is from RefSeq and is a predicted model, not a curated record.